This 468-nucleotide ribosomal RNA is filed under the name uncultured bacterium. RNAcentral describes it as "partial 16S ribosomal RNA". It matches the Rfam family "Bacterial small subunit ribosomal RNA", at positions 28 to 507 of the family's 1533-position model. The record is from RNAcentral.
GACGAACGCUGGCGGUGUGCUUAACACAUGCAAGUCGAACGGAAAGGCCCUGCUUUUGUGGGGUGCUCGAGUGGCGAACGGGUGAGUAACACGUGAGUAACCUGACCUUGACUUUGGGAUAACUUAAGGAAACUGGGGCUAAUACCGGAUAGGAGCUCCUGCGGCAUGGUGGGGGUUGGAAAGUUUCGGCGGUUGGGGAUGGACUCGCGGCUUAUCCGCUUGUUGGUGGGGUAGUGGCUUACCAAAGCUUUGACGGGUAGCCGGCCUGCGUGGGUGACCGGCCACAAUGGGGAUGAGAUACGGGCCAGACUCCUACGGGAGGCAGCAGUGGGGAAUAUUGCACAAUGGGCGGAAGCCUCAUUCAGCAACGCCGCGUGCGGUAUAGCGGCCUUCGGGUUGUAGACCGCUUUCUCCUGUGACGAAGCGUGAGUGACGGUAAUGGGUAAAGAAGCACCGGCUAACUACGUG